This 303-nucleotide unclassified non-coding RNA is filed under the name Ascomycota sp. RNAcentral's name for it is "partial contains small subunit ribosomal RNA, internal transcribed spacer 1, and 5.8S ribosomal RNA". The stretch from base 1 to 47 matches the Rfam family "Eukaryotic small subunit ribosomal RNA", at positions 1785 to 1831 of the family's 1831-position model. The record is from RNAcentral. Lineage: Eukaryota; Fungi; Ascomycota.
AAAGUCGUAACAAGGUUUCCGUAGGUGAACCUGCGGAAGGAUCAUUAAAGAGCACUCGGGUCCUCUGGGCCCGAUCUCCCAACCCCAUGUCUAUCAUACCACAUGUUGCUUCGGCGAGCCCGCUCGUCCCGCGGUGUCUCGACACUUGAGGACGGGCCGCCGGGGGACCGCCUGACGGACCCCUGGCCCGCGCUCGUCGAUGGCCCCCAAAAUUCUUUGCAACCAUGACCAUUUGUCUUACGUGUGCAAUACACAAAACAUAAAUUAUAAGCAAAACUUUCAACAACGGAUCUCUUGGUUCUG